RNAcentral lists this ribosomal RNA (651 nucleotides) under Triticum aestivum (bread wheat). RNAcentral describes it as "partial small subunit ribosomal RNA". The record is from RNAcentral. Lineage: Eukaryota; Viridiplantae; Streptophyta; Magnoliopsida; Poales; Poaceae.
AUGGCGGACGUAAGUCACGAGUCAAUGAUGGAGUACUAUCAUAUUGCCAACAAGAUGUUUAAUAGUGAGGAUGAAGGUUAUACAUUCUAUAACAAAUAUGGUCUUGAGAAAGGUUUUAGUGUCCCGAGAAGCUAUGUCGAGUGGGAUGGAUCCAACUGCCAUAUAAUUUUAAGGAAAUUUGUGUGUAGUCGUGAAGGGGUUCGUAAAGAGAAGCACAUGAAGAGGAAGAUGGAAGAUAGAAAGAGGAGGCCACGGAGUAUAACUCGUGUAGGGUGUAAAGCUAAAUUGGUGAUUGCAAGACAGGAGGAAACAUGUCAGUGGUUUGUCAAGGAUUUCAUCGAUGAACACAACCAUCCUCUAGCCCCACGGGAUCUAUUGUGUCUUUUGCGUUCACACAGAAGAAUUAGCGAUGAGCAGAAAGCGGACAUUGCAGACAUGGAAAAAUCUGGGAUCAGAAAACACCAUAUUAUGGAUAUUAUAUGCAUGCAAUACGGUGGAUAUGAUGAGGUUGGAUGCAUUAUGAGGGACAUUUACAAUUUCUGCCAUGCUAACAAGCAGGAAACAAUUUCUUUCGGGGAUGCUCAAACAGUGAUCAAUCACAUGGUGGCGAGGCAAGAGCAAGAUUCAGAUUUUUUCUUCAGGUACUUGGUU